ACCUGACAGCUCUUUACAUUCGCUGUUCGCCUGGGAACUACGAGCGUAAGCUUAAAACCCAAAGGACUUGACGGUGCUUUAUAUCCCCCUAGAGGAGCCUGUCCUAGAACCGAUAAUCCCCGUUUAACCUCACCUUUUCUUGCUCAUUCCGCCUAUAUACCGCCGUCUCCAGUCUACCCUGUAAAGGACCCAUAGUAGGCGAAAUUGGUACAGCCCCAGACGACAGGUCGAGGUGUAGCGUAUGAAAAGGGAAGAGAUGGGCUACAUUCAGUGACACACUGAAUACGGAGAGCUAAUUGAAAUAUUAACUUGAAGGUGGAUUUAGCAGUAAGCGGGG
Molecule: ribosomal RNA, 337 nt
Filed under: Scarus flavipectoralis (yellowfin parrotfish)
Lineage: Eukaryota; Metazoa; Chordata; Actinopteri; Labriformes; Labridae
Description: partial 12S ribosomal RNA
Rfam family: Bacterial small subunit ribosomal RNA
Source: RNAcentral